RNAcentral lists this ribosomal RNA (440 nucleotides) under uncultured bacterium. RNAcentral's name for it is "partial 16S ribosomal RNA". It matches the Rfam family "Bacterial small subunit ribosomal RNA", at positions 338 to 795 of the family's 1533-position model. The record is from RNAcentral.
CCUACGGGAGGCAGCAGUGAGGAAUAUUGGGCAAUGGAGGCAACUCUGACCCAGCCAUGCCGCGUGAGUGAAGAAGGUUUUCGGGUUGUAAAGCUCUUUCGGCUGUGACGAUGAUGACGGUAGCAUCUAAAGACUCCCCGGCUACCUUCGUGCCAGCAGCCGCGGUAAUACGAAGGGGGCAAGCGUUGUUCGGAUUUACUGGGCGUAAAGGGAGUGUAGGCGGUUUAGUAAGAUAGUGGUGAAAUCCCAGGGCUUAACUUUGGAAUUGCCAUUAUAACUAUUAGACUAGAAUGACAGAGAGGAUAGCGGAAUACCCAGUGUAGAGGUGAAAUGCGUAGAUAUUGGGUAGAACACCAGUGGCGAAGGCGACUAGCUGGAUGGAAAUUGACGCUGAGGCUCGAAAGCAUGGGGAUCAAACAGGAUUAGAUACCCGAGUAGUC